CCCUUCGGGGUGAGCGGCGGACGGGUGAGUAACGCGUGGGUAACCUGCCCUGUACACACGGAUAACAUACCGAAAGGUAUGCUAAUACGAGAUAAUAUAUUUUAAUCACAUGGUUAAGAUAUCAAAGCUCCGGCGGUACAGGAUGGACCCGCGUCUGAUUAGCUAGUUGGUGAGGUAAUGGCUCACCAAGGCGACGAUCAGUAGCCGACCUGAGAGGGUGAUCGGCCACACUGGAACUGAGACACGGUCCAGACUCCUACGGGAGGCAGCAGUGGGGAAUAUUGCACAAUGGGCGAAAGCCUGAUGCAGCAACGCCGCGUGAGCGAUGAAGGCCUUCGGG
RNAcentral lists this ribosomal RNA (340 nucleotides) under uncultured bacterium. RNAcentral's name for it is "bacterial SSU rRNA". It matches the Rfam family "Bacterial small subunit ribosomal RNA", at positions 76 to 422 of the family's 1533-position model. The record is from RNAcentral.